This is a non-coding RNA of Aphanomyces astaci, 45 nucleotides long. Lineage: Eukaryota; Oomycota; Saprolegniomycetes; Saprolegniales; Verrucalvaceae. The record is from Rfam.
AAAUCGGUGUUUCUAAACACCACCCAACUUGCAAGAAAUGUAUUU